Molecule: ribosomal RNA, 550 nt
Filed under: uncultured bacterium
Lineage: Bacteria
Description: bacterial SSU rRNA
Rfam family: Bacterial small subunit ribosomal RNA
Source: RNAcentral
UAGAGAAUCUUCGGCAAUGGACGGAAGUCUGACCGAGCAACGCCGCGUGAGUGAAGAAGGUUUUCGGAUCGUAAAGCUCUGUUGUAAGAGAAGAACGAGUGUGAGAGUGGAAAGUUCACACUGUGACGGUAACUUACCAGAAAGGGACGGCUAACUACGUGCCAGCAGCCGCGGUAAUACGUAGGUCCCGAGCGUUAUCCGGAUUUAUUGGGCGUAAAGCGAGCGCAGGCGGUUAGAUAAGUCUGAAGUUAAAGGCUGUGGCUUAACCAUAGUACGCUUUGGAAACUGUUUAACUUGAGUGCAGAAGGGGAGAGUGGAAUUCCAUGUGUAGCGGUGAAAUGCGUAGAUAUAUGGAGGAACACCGGUGGCGAAAGCGGCUCUCUGGUCUGUAACUGACGCUGAGGCUCGAAAGCGUGGGGAGCAAACAGGAUUAGAUACCCUGGUAGUCCACGCCGUAAACGAUGAGUGCUAGGUGUUGGGUCCUUUCCGGGACUCAGUGCCGCAGCUAACGCAUUAAGCACUCCGCCUGGGGAGUACGACCGCAAGGUUG